Molecule: long non-coding RNA, 5256 nt
Organism: Oncorhynchus nerka (sockeye salmon)
Lineage: Eukaryota; Metazoa; Chordata; Actinopteri; Salmoniformes; Salmonidae
Exons: 3
Source: RefSeq, a predicted model, not a curated record
UUGACUACAACAUAACUAUCUGUUCCGUGGAUGUGAGGAUGACGAUCCCAUGUCAGGAUGGUUCAGAAAAAAACUACAGAACGAAGCCAACAUCAGCAUGAGCUUUGGUUGCAAAUGGUAUGAACUUUGAACUCUUAUUCACGACAGAAGUGAUACCUCCUAGCCGUUGAGUUAGUGACCGCAGCUGCAAACGCAGGUUAGGAAGGAACAGACAGAGUAUCCCAUCUACCACACAACGACGUCACUACAAUUUAUCCAAGGGACCACCAGACACAUUCUUCAAAGGACAGAAGACUCGGUUUGGCAACACGGCCUUCCACCUACCACCAACCUACUGAAGCGCAGCUCAGAUUGUCGUGAAAGCACCAUAAAUCCAGAGAAUGCCAGACUUUGAUGACAAAGUUUGAUGACAAAAAUGUCCUGUUUAAGUGAGCACAGCACAACAAGGUCAGGUUACAGGAGACCACAACCCUGCAGAUUAUCUCUCAACCCCAACAGAGGAGGAGAGAUCUAGGGGUCUGAAGACGUGGGGGGGUUUUAUGGCCCCCACGCCCCUGGUAAAUCUAAGGCCACAGACAAAUUCCUUUGUCCUGUCACUAUGAAGAACCAGCCUCAGAACAUUAAACAUGAAAUAAAGGGACUUUGGAACAAUGGUUUCCGUCAGCCACAAUGGUGGUCAGGACGAUAGAUAGACUAUGAAAAUGUAUGUCAUUUUUGUUCUGUUAUUAAAGGUUAAUAUUACGAAAACAUUGUAAUGUGAAGGGUUUUCCUAGUAUAUGUUUGAUGUUUAUACAUUGUACGUUGUAUGGAAAAUAUCCAAAUCAAAGAGAAUGUUUUGGGGAAGAUGAAAUGUUAAAUUAGUUGUCUAAAAUGGGAUUUGAGAAAAAUCUAGCCCUUGCCUCAUUAACGUGGUACGCCCAGAGAAUUGCUCUAAAGGCGGCUACGCCCACUUCUGACCCAAGGGUAUAAAACCUGUGAGUAUAGAAUUUACAACAGGACUACGUGACCCCAGCUGCAGCAGGGUCGGAAAAAGUCAUCCAACCCAGAACGCAACGCAAGUUUGAGGACAAAGAAAUCCUUUUCUACCCAAGCUACGGAUGAGUAGCUGUGUCUAAGCGGGUGAAUUGAAGUCGAAUCACCUAGCUUCCAUCUCCCAUCGAAUCGUGGUAUCGAAAGGGUUUCAUUCCUAUGCUGUGAGCUGUCUGUCCUCAGAAGACCCCUUCCAGAGAAAAGGGGGGAAACAGACUCCUAAGCCAAAAGGGACACGGACACCGGGAGGACGAGCAACGAGGUGCGCAGGAGAAGUGCGUCAUCGAACAACGGAACGAUCCACGCAGAGAAUCCCCAGAGAUCACCCCCCACGUAAUUACAUCAUUAUAUUCUGACCCAAAAGAGCGGCAGUUUGAGGCAAGGCUAGGGUUAGAAUAGCAUAGCUGACAAAUUCACCCAAAUGUAUAUUUCUCGUGUACUUCUUUUUCUCUCUCUUUUGAAAUUCCCAUUGUGGGUAACACGCGCCAUAGUGUGUUGGCCCGUUAUACUAAGUUCUAAUCAAUAGCCUAUAAUGUGUUUUGUCUAUGUGUAUCUUUUAUCAUCAUUUUAGCUUUUUGGUAAAUAAAUAUUCAACUAAGAUUGGUGUGGUACGAAUUCAUUAGUGGGACCCGGGUCCGUGCAGAUUCAAGGGCUAUACGACGUUCAGAUUAUGAGACUGAUAGAGGCAACUGGUUAAUUAGCGGCUUUUGUCAAAUCGAUAUUCUGAUAUUCUUUGAGUUAAUUUGGGAAAUAGAAACUCAAUAAAACUAGUUUUCCCAUGGUGCCCCAGGUUAAUGAGUUAAUAAUUGCUUGAUUCAGUUAAUCACGUAAUUAGACACUUGUAACCAUUCGAUGAGCAACAGUCGUCACAUUAACUAAUACAAUGUCACGACACUGUACUGCACCUGCGUAGUGCAGUGGAGCGUCUUUAUCCAGGGCGAACAGUGGUGGGUUGAGAAGAACGGUGUUGUCGUUCUCCAUGACAAUACCCUGGUACUCCGUCUCGAUCCAUGGCUUGUGCUUAUUGGCUGAAAGGUAACACAGGAGACAAAAGGAGGCUUGGGUUAAAUGGAGCAAUUAGAAGGGGAAAAAAACAUGGCUACUUGUAACACCCCAUUACAUGACAGGACGUGUAUGUGUGUGUGACUGCAGAUAUACAUACAGACAAAUGAAGACACACACAGACACACAGAAAUGCACACACACUCAACCCCCACACCCUAACACACACGUGUCACUCCACACCUUGCGUCAGUUGGCAACAUAAUUACAUCUAUCCCGAUUUCACCUUAUCACACAGGGAGAGGUAAAUUGUACAUAUCAAUCAGAACAGCCCAAGCAGUCGGUCUCACAGGCUGCCUGACCACUUCACUCACUGGCAAACGUGGACGUCCAAAUUAAACAGGGAAAGUUUGCUGUGAAUACACCCUCUAAUUGCCAAUUAAUAAUUAAUUUCCCUCCAGAAUGUUCACCCAUAUCAAUCAAAGGCAGAGCUAACGAGCUGGAACGGUGACGAUUUUACACUCAAACAAUCAAAGACCAAAACAAAAGCCUGAGGGCUUUUAUUUUAGACAUGCCUCCCUCACUAGACCCUGAGAUGAUGACGUUCGACUCAGACAGCGAUGACAGAGCCACAGGACAUGUUGUGUAGCAACCGCUCCGCCGUUUCAACAACCAAAACACUCUGGCUAAUUAUAACAAUUAAAAAUGCCAAUCUGUCCUGAAUCAAUGUGAGAUGAGAGUACUACAGAGUGGAAAGUAAUUGUCCUCCAGUACUAGUCAUUUCAAAGACGAGUGGCGUUCUCUCCUAGCCAGAUGGGUGUACUUCAAGGCAGGAGCUAUGAGUUAGCCAGCUAACUUUGACAAACAACCAGAAAUAACAGUUGAUUUUCUGGUUCAUUAAGAAAGCUAAACAUACAGUGAAUUCAGGAAAGUAUUCAGACCCCUUGACUUUUUCCACAUGUUGUUACGUUGGACUUAUUCUAAAAUGGAUUUAAUCACCCCCCCCCCCUCGAUCGACCUACACACAAUACCUCGUUAUCACAAAGCAAAAAAAGGUUUUGAUUUUUUUCUGCAAAUGUAUGAACGUUUUUAAAGUAAUCAGACCCUUUACAUUGUUGAAGCAACUUUGUUGGCAGUGAUUGCAGCCUUGAGGCUUCUUGGUUAUGACUCUACAAGCUUGGCACACAUGUAUUUGGGGAGUUUCUCCAAUUCUUCUCUGCAGAUCCUCUCAAGCUCUGUCAGGUUGGAAGGGUAGUGUCGCUGCACAGCUAUUUUCAGGUCUCUCCAGAGAUGAUCGAUCGGGUUCAAGUCUGGGCUCUGGCUGGGCCACUCAAGGAUAUUCAGAGACUUGUCCCGAAGCCACUCCUGCGUUGACUUGGCUGUGUGCUUAGGGUCGUUGUCCUGUUGGAAGAUGAACCUUCGCUCCCAGUCUGAGGUCCUGAGUGCUCUGGAGCAGGUUUUCAUCAAGGAUCUGUCUGUACUUUGCUCCGUUCAUCUUUCCCUUGAUCCUGACUAGUCCUCUAGUCGCUGCCGCUGAAAAACAUCCCCACAGCAUGAUGCUGCCACCACCAUGCUUCACCGUAGGGGUGGUGCCAGGUUUCCUCCAGACGUGACGCUUGGCAUUCAGGCCAAAGAGUUCAAUCUUGGUUUCAUCAGACCAGAGAAUCUUAUUUCUUAUGGUCUUAGAGUCCUCUAGGUGCCAAGCGGGCUGUUGUGUACCUGAAUGGCAGACGGAGUGGCUUCCGUCUGGCCACUCUACCAGAAAGGCCUGAUUGGUGGAGUGCUGCAUAGAUGGUUGACCUUCUGGAAUGUUCUCCCGUCUCCACAGAGGAACUCUGGAGCUCUGUCAGAGCGGACCAUCGGGUUCUUGGGCACCUCCGUGACCAACGCCCUUCUCCCCCGAUUGCUCAAUUUGGCCGGGCGGACAGCUUUAGGAUGGGGCCACAGUGUCUCCUGACCCCUCCUGUCUCAGCCUCCAGUAUGUAUGCUGCAGUAGUUUAUGUGUCGGGGGGCUAGGGUCAGUUUGUUAUAUCUGGAGUACUUCUUCUGUCCUAUUCGGUGUCCUGUGUGAAUCUAAGUGUGCGUUCUCUAAUUCUCUCCUUCUCUCUUUCUUUCUCUCUCUCGGAGGACCUGAGCCCUAGGACCAUGCCCCAGGACUGCCUGACAUGAUGACUCAUUGCUGUCCCCAGUCCACCUGGCCGUGCUGCUGCAGAUCUGUGCCUCGACAAAAUCCUGUCCCGGAGCUCUACGGACAAUUCCUUUGACCUCAUGGCUUGGUUUUUGCUCUGACAUGCACUGUCAACUGUGUGACCUUAUAUAAACAGGUGUGUGUCUUUCCAAAUCAUUUCCAAUCAAUUUAAUUUACCACUGGUGGACUCCAAUCAAGUUGUAAAAACAUUUCAAGGGAUCUCAAUUUCGAGUCUCGAGUCUCAUAGCAAAGAGUCAGAAUAUUUAUGCCAGCAGCAUACCACCCUGCAUACCACUGCUGGCUUGCUUCUGAAGCUAAGCAGGGUUGGUCCUGGUCAGUUCCUGGAUGGGAGAACAGAUGCUGCUGGAAGUGGUGUUGGAGGGCCAGUAGGAGGCACUCUUUCCUCUGGUCUAAAAUAAUAUCCCAAUUCCCCAGGGCAGUGAUUGGGGAAACUGCCCUGUGUAGGGUGCCGUCUUUCGGAUGGGACGUUAAACGGGUGACCUGACUGUCUGAGGUCAUUAAAGAUCCCAGAGCACUUAUUGUAAGAGUACAGGUGUUAACCCUGGUGUCCUGGCUAAAUUCCCAAUCUGGCCCUCAAACCAUCAUGGGCACCUAAUAAAACCCCAGUUUACAAUUGGCUCAUUCAUCCCCCUCCUCUCCCCUGUAACUAUUCCCCAGGUUGUUGCUGCAAAUGAGAAUGUGUUCUCAGUCAACUUACCUGGUAAAAUAAUGGAUAAAUGUAAAUAAGGUAUGUUUUUUUGUUUUUUUUACAAAUUUGCACAAAAUGUUAAAAAACUGUUUUCGCUUUGUCAUUAUGGGGUAUCGUGAGUAGAUUGAUGUGAAAACUUUUUUUUAAUCAAUUUUUUAAACAAGGCUGUAACAAAAUGUGGAAAAAUUCAAGGGGUCUGAUUCCUCUCCUAAAGCACUGUAGAUAUCCCACUGGGCACAGACAUCAGCUCAACGUCUAGUUUUGAUGUACAUUUGGUUGAGUUGUCAACCAACGUGAAUUCAACGUGAAAUAAACCAAACAUACCUAA